Molecule: small nuclear RNA, 104 nt
Organism: Peromyscus leucopus (white-footed mouse)
Lineage: Eukaryota; Metazoa; Chordata; Mammalia; Rodentia; Cricetidae
Source: RefSeq, a predicted model, not a curated record
GUGCUCACUUCGGCAGCACAUCCACUAAAAUUGGAACAAUACAGAUAUCAGCAUGGCCCCUGUGCAAGGAUGACACACAAAUUCGUGAAGCAUUCCAUAUUUUU